AUUGAACGCUGGCGGCAGGCCUAACACAUGCAAGUCGAGCGGCAGAAGAGAGCUUGCUCCUGGAUUCAGCGGCGGACGGGUGAGUAAUGCCGAGGAAUCUGCCUGUUAGUGGGUGAUAACGUCCGGACACGGGCGCUAAUACCGCAUACGUCCUGAGGGCGUAAGUGUGGAAGCUUCGGACCUCACGCUAUCACAUGAGCCUAGGUGGGAUUAGCUAGUUGGGGGGGUAAAGGCCUACCAAGGCGACGAUGCGUAACUGGUAUGAGAGGAUGAUCAGACACACUGGAACUUAGACACGGUCCAGACCCCUACGGGGGGCAGCAGUGGGGAAUAUUGGACCAUGGGGGGAAGGCUGGUCCAGGCAUACCGGGGUGUGGGAGGAGGGCUUCGGGUUGGUAAAGCCCUUUAUGUGGGAAGAAAGGCAGCAAGUUAAUACCCCGCUGGUCUGACGGUAACCAAAGAAUAAGCACCGGCUAACUUCGUG
RNAcentral lists this ribosomal RNA (484 nucleotides) under uncultured bacterium. RNAcentral describes it as "partial 16S ribosomal RNA". It matches the Rfam family "Bacterial small subunit ribosomal RNA", at positions 29 to 507 of the family's 1533-position model. The record is from RNAcentral.